RNAcentral lists this long non-coding RNA (1303 nucleotides) under Homo sapiens (human). RNAcentral describes it as "HSALNT0389428". The record is from RNAcentral. Lineage: Eukaryota; Metazoa; Chordata; Mammalia; Primates; Hominidae.
GGAGAAGUCAAAACAAAGGUCACCAUGUUGUUCUGAGCCUAAGGGGUCUUUGUGAGAUCUUGCACUACAAACUGCAGCCAAGGGGAUCCCGAAUGGGCAAGACUUGAUCCUCAUACUGGUGAAACCUCCUGAGUCCCCAGGGACCCUGUCAGACCAGGCUCCAGCCUCCCUGCGGUCUCUGAGAGAGAAUGUGGCUAGUUCUGCCCCACGGCUCCCUGGCAGGCAAAACAGCCCUUGAGAGAUUGCAGAAAGCCAUCAACCUUGAAGAUAACAGGAGCCCUCCCAAGGAAAUGUGUUCAGGAGACCUUCUAAGACCAUGCCAUUUCCUGGGUCCCUCUCCCAGUGGGGAAAUUCUCCCAGUAGCAGAUUCUGGCAGACAGCAGAGACACACUCUAUGCCCAACACUAGGCACCGGAUGGAUGAGAUAAUCAUAAAUCCACAAACUGCAACAAGAUAAAAUUAUCAUUAGAUGAAGUUAAAUUAUUAAUUAGCACCUCCAAAAAAAGACCGGCACCACCUGGGCUUGAAUCUUGGAAGCUGUCUUUCUGAAAGCAAGAGAAACAUCAAAAUAGUUUAUCGAUGCUCUGUGGUGUGGGUAUAGCCUAUGGUUCCCAGAAGCCUGAUGGUCAGAGGUCCCACCAGGCAGGCCUGCCCCGCCUGCCCUCUUCUUGCAGUGUUGCCAGAAAUAGCCAGUUUGGAUAAUGUUACUAGGGAAAGGGAAGCAACUAAUGUGACCCAUUUUUAUGACUGGAGAAACUGAGGCAAAGGACGAGGCAGAAAGGCCACAGAAGAUGGCUCAGGGUGGGCUGAAGAAUUUGUGUACUGGGUUGGGAAGGGGUAGGUCCUCAGAUUGCCUGAUUAUCUAAGGACUAAGGAACACUCAUUCGUUCAGUGCACUGCUAUUUUGUGCUUACUAUGUGCCAGGCACCCGGAAUACAGAGGAAAAAGCCAUAAUUCCUUGUCCUUAAGCACAAUGUCUGAUGGGCUAGUCUGAUGAAUCAGCUGUUUCUCCUCUCUGCCUCCCCAGCCUCAAGUCCUAGGACUUAGCCUCUUUAUCAUCAGCCUUGUUUCCAUCAUUGUCAUCAUCAUCCACUACCACCACCACCAACUCCUACAACCCAUAUUUAUUCAUUGAAUCCUGGAACCACAGCAGCUAAUGAUGGGGGAGGAGGCUUUAAAGACCAUCUUUCUAGCCAGAACAUCAAUCCUUGCUACAGAAUUCCGUGUGAAUUGUGAUCCAGUAGAACACUCCCAGCAAUAAGCAGCUUACUCACUGCCUCAUAAAUCAGCCCAUUGCAUCUCU